UAAGAUGGAAACGGAGGAUGCUAGAUAGU
Molecule: non-coding RNA, 29 nt
Filed under: Mus musculus (house mouse)
Lineage: Eukaryota; Metazoa; Chordata; Mammalia; Rodentia; Muridae
Source: RNAcentral